RNAcentral lists this long non-coding RNA (1170 nucleotides) under Homo sapiens (human). Its description in RNAcentral is "long non-coding RNA NONHSAT210033.1". The record is from RNAcentral. Lineage: Eukaryota; Metazoa; Chordata; Mammalia; Primates; Hominidae.
GGCGCCCUGGGCUGGGAGCAACGCGACUGACCGUGGUCGUGGGCGGACGGCGGCUGCAGCGUGGAGGAGCUGGGGUCGCUGUGGGUCGCGAAGCAGAGCCCGGGACGUGCGCGCUUGGUGCACGAUCCUGAAGGGGAGCUCCGAGGGGCCCGGGUCGCCAGGGCUGCUGCGGCCAUUCCCGGAGCCCGGCGCGGGGCCCGCGAGAUACUGGUUUAGGCCGUCCCAGGGCUCCGGGCGCACCCGGUGGCCGCUGCUGCAGCGGAGGGAGCGCGGCGGCGCGGGGGCUCGGAGACAGCGUUUCUCCCGGAAGUCUUCCUCGGGCAGCAGGUGGGAAGUGGGAGCCGGAGCGGCAGCUGGCAGCGUUCUCUCCGCAGGUCGGCACCAUGCGCCCUGCAGCCCUGCGCGGGGCCCUGCUGGGCUGCCUCUGCCUGGCGUUGCUUUGCCUGGGCGGUGCGGACAAGCGCCUGCGUGACAACCAUGAGUGGAAAAAACUAAUUAUGGUUCAGCACUGGCCUGAGACAGUAUGCGAGAAAAUUCAAAACGACUGUAGAGACCCUCCGGAUUACUGGACAAUACAUGGACUAUGGCCCGAUAAAAGUGAAGGAUGUAAUAGAUCGUGGCCCUUCAAUUUAGAAGAGAUUAAGGAUCUUUUGCCAGAAAUGAGGGCAUACUGGCCUGACGUAAUUCACUCGUUUCCCAAUCGCAGCCGCUUCUGGAAGCAUGAGUGGGAAAAGCAUGGGACCUGCGCCGCCCAGGUGGAUGCGCUCAACUCCCAGAAGAAGUACUUUGGCAGAAGCCUGGAACUCUACAGGGAGCUGGACCUCAACAGGUUGCAGAUUUUAAAGAUGCCCUUGCCAGAGUAUAUGGAGUGAUACCCAAAAUCCAGUGCCUUCCACCAAGCCAGGAUGAGGAAGUACAGACAAUUGGUCAGAUAGAACUGUGCCUCACUAAGCAAGACCAGCAGCUGCAAAACUGCACCGAGCCGGGGGAGCAGCCGUCCCCCAAGCAGGAAGUCUGGCUGGCAAAUGGGGCCGCCGAGAGCCGGGGUCUGAGAGUCUGUGAAGAUGGCCCAGUCUUCUAUCCCCCACCUAAAAAGACCAAGCAUUGAUGCCCAAGUUUUGGAAAUAUUCUGUUUUAAAAAGCAAGAGAAAUUCACAAACUGCAGCUUUC